AUACGUAGGGGGCAAGCGUUAUCCGGAUUCAUUGGGCGUAAAGCGCGCGUAGGCGGCUUGUUAAGCGAGGAGUGAAAUCUGGGGGCUCAACCCGCAGACUGCUUCUCGAACCGACAGGCUUGAGUCUGGUAGAGGAAAGUGGAAUUCCUGGUGUAGCGGUGAAAUGCGCAGAUAUCAGGAGGAACACCAGUGGCGAAGGCGACGAUCUGGCCUGCAACUGACGCUCAGUCCCGAAAGCGUGGGGAGCAAACAGGAUUAGAUACCCUGGUAGUCCACGCUGUAAACGAUGAUUACUAGGUGUGGGGGGACUGACCCCUUCCGUGCCGCAGUUAACACAAUAAGUAAUCCACCUGGGGAGUACGGCCGCAAGGUUGAAACUCAAAUGAAUUGACGGGG
RNAcentral lists this ribosomal RNA (396 nucleotides) under uncultured bacterium. RNAcentral's name for it is "partial 16S ribosomal RNA". It matches the Rfam family "Bacterial small subunit ribosomal RNA", at positions 523 to 918 of the family's 1533-position model. The record is from RNAcentral.